ACGGAAGGCAGCAGUGGGGGAUAUUGCACAAUGGGGGAAACCCUGAUGCAGCGACGCCGCGUGAAGGAAGAAGUAUCUCGGUAUGUAAACUUCUAUCAGCAGGGAAGAUAAUGACGGUACCUGACUAAGAAGCCCCGGCUAACUACGUGCCAGCAGCCGCGGUAAUACGUAGGGGGCAAGCGUUAUCCGGAUUUACUGGGUGUAAAGGGAGCGUAGACGGAACGGCAAGUCUGAUGUGAAAGGCUGGGGCUCAACCCCGGGACUGCAUUGGAAACUGUCGGUCUUGAGUGCCGGAGGGGUAAGCGGAAUUCCUAGUGUAGCGGUGAAAUGCGUAGAUAUUAGGAGGAACACCAGUGGCGAAGGCGGCUUACUGGACGGUAACUGACGUUGAGGCUCGAAAGCGUGGGGAGCAAACAGGAUUAGAUACCCUGGUA
Molecule: ribosomal RNA, 434 nt
Filed under: uncultured Blautia sp.
Lineage: Bacteria; Bacillati; Bacillota; Clostridia; Lachnospirales; Lachnospiraceae
Description: partial 16S ribosomal RNA
Rfam family: Bacterial small subunit ribosomal RNA
Source: RNAcentral